RNAcentral lists this long non-coding RNA (893 nucleotides) under Ananas comosus (pineapple). RNAcentral describes it as "long non-coding RNA (ACOM_LNC033380)". Lineage: Eukaryota; Viridiplantae; Streptophyta; Magnoliopsida; Poales; Bromeliaceae. The record is from RNAcentral.
GCGGUUCCAAGAACAAUGUCCAAACAGGACUGCUGCAACAUCAACGUAAGUAAAGCCUCACUUCGGAGCGGCACUCGUGGGAGCAACCCAACCGAGUAUGCAAACGUGUCUCUGUCAAGCUCAAUCAGGCUCACAGAGGAUAUAGUCAAUGCAAAUGGGUCAAACUGGUCUAACAACCAAAACUCACGUGCUCUCGGCACAAUCUGGAACAAAAUGUAAACAUCUGGGUCCAUCAUCAACCACGACGACACCCAACAGUACGGAACCGUCCAAACUCUACUGUAAAACGAGCUCGGCCCCUCAGCACGAGCAUAAUCUUAACCUACACUAAUCUGGAUAUCCACAAUGUACUAACAACGGUGAUACAAAAGAACAACAGCUUCUGAAGUUAAUUCGGUUAACUUUUCAAAAAGUGACAGUGUAGGUUUAAUCAAUUUUCUCCUAAGUCAAAUCUCAGUUCAGUAUAUAUAAUGUCACGCCUCGAGCCCGGUCCUAUUUGGCUGGUUCGAGCACGUCGAACAGAUGCCGAACGGACAGCACCUCCCCUGUCCGCCCAAGGCUCAAAAACAAGUACAGAACAAGUAUAUAAAUUGCAUAGCGGAAACAUAAAUAUACUUGGCUUGCGCAAGGGCAAGCGAUAGCCAAAGUGAAAGUACUAAACUAAACAUCAUACAAGUAAUAUGAUUAACUUUUAAUCACAUACAUGCAUUCAAUCACAAGUUACAUUUACAUUCUUUUCAUCAAUUCUUCUUUUGAUACAUCACAUGAUAUCCCAAAAUAUAUCUCUUUGCAUUUAAACAUAAACUCUUUUACAUCACUCAUAUUCUUUCAUUUAAACAUCUAUAAUCAUUAAGUACAAAAGAUGAUAUACAAAAGGGUAUGCAACUAUAUAA